Molecule: long non-coding RNA, 771 nt
Filed under: Zalophus californianus (California sea lion)
Lineage: Eukaryota; Metazoa; Chordata; Mammalia; Carnivora; Otariidae
Description: lncRNA (ENSZCAG00015004203.1)
Source: RNAcentral
UUAAUUUAUAAAUUUACAUUCAUUCACAAAAAGUUCUUAGGCUUAACUAGGCUGAUCUCACUGAGCCUAAUCAUAAAUGUCUUUGGAAAAAUUAUUAAUAUAGGGGAAUAUUCCAUAGUUUAUGUUAAUUUUCAAAAUAUGUAUUUUUAUUGACUAAUUGAGAUGAAUUACUGCCUAAGAAUAAUUCUUUGUAUGUGAAAAAUAAUCUGCUUAAAAUUUCUUUCUACAGAAUUCUAUAAAUCUGAAGACUAAACUUUAAAAUAAAAUCGUCAGAGGAAAGGAAUUGGUAGAAAUAAAACUGGAAACAUCCAGAAUCUUGAUGGUGUGCCAAACCAGAUGUCAACUGGAGCUCAACCAAAACCUAAAGCUAGACUGCCAAACCCAAUUUCAGCCAUAGAGUACCGGAUGUAUAAAGUUCACUGUCCUGUGGAACAUGUCUGAGGUACCAGUGCUGAGGUUUGAAUGUGGUCCUGGCUGCAAAAUACUGAGGGCAAGACCUCUCCCAGUGAUGAAUUUCCUUCAGAAAAAUCAACAAAUGUUCAUCAUAUGUCUCUUCUAUACCACACUUGCUGCUCAGCACAUCGCAUGAAUUAUUUUACUUACUCCUUAAAGCAACCCCAUUGACUGACAAGGAAGUGAGGUUCAGAGAAAUUUGGUAACUUUCUGAAGGUCAUGCAGCUAGUCACUGUCUUUCUGAUUGCUAAGCAUAUGAUCUUAAGCAUAUGAUUUAAACUGUAUUUAUUUUUAGUAUAAUGGGGAAUGGUUUCACAA